This 492-nucleotide ribosomal RNA is filed under the name uncultured bacterium. RNAcentral's name for it is "partial 16S ribosomal RNA". It matches the Rfam family "Bacterial small subunit ribosomal RNA", at positions 29 to 507 of the family's 1533-position model. The record is from RNAcentral.
AGUGAACGCUGGCGGUAGGCCUAACACAUGCAAGUCGAACGGCAGCACAGUAAGAGCUUGCUCUUACGGGUGGCGAGUGGCGGACGGGUGAGGAAUAUAUCGUAAUCUACUUUUUCGGGGGGGAUAACGUAGGGAAACUUACGCUAAUAUCGCAUACGACCUACGGGUGAAAGCAGGGGAUCUUUAGACCUUGCGCGAUUGAAUGAGCCGAUGUCGGAUUAGUUAGUUGGCGGGGUAAAGGCCCACCAAGUCGACGAUCCGUAGCUGGUCUGAGAGGAUGAUCAGCCGCACUGGAGCUGAGACACGGUCCAGACGACUACGGGAGGCAGCAGUGGGGAAUAUUGGACAGUGGGCGCAAGCCUGGUCCAGCGAUACCGCGUGGGUGAAGAAGGCCUUCGGGUUGUAAAGCCCUUUUGUUGGGAAAGAAAAGCAGCAGGUUAAUACCCCGCUGUUCUGACGGUACCCAAAGAAUAAGCACCGGCUAACUACGUG